This 268-nucleotide ribosomal RNA is filed under the name uncultured gamma proteobacterium GE7. RNAcentral describes it as "partial 16S ribosomal RNA". It matches the Rfam family "Bacterial small subunit ribosomal RNA", at positions 243 to 504 of the family's 1533-position model. The record is from RNAcentral. Lineage: Bacteria; Pseudomonadati; Pseudomonadota; Gammaproteobacteria.
AGCUAGUUGGUGGGGUAAAGGCCUACCAAGGCGACGAUCUAUAGCUGGUCUGAGAGGACGAUCAGCCACACUGGGACUGAGACACGGCCCAGACUCCUACGGGAGGCAGCAGUGGGGAAUAUUGGACAAUGGGCGAAAGCCUGAUCCAGCAAUACCGCGUGUGUGAAGAAGGCCUUAGGGUUGUAAAGCACUUUCAAUUGGGAGGAAAACCUACCGGUCAAUACCCGGUAGCUUGACAUUACCUUUAGAAGAAGCACCGGCUAACUCC